Molecule: long non-coding RNA, 526 nt
Filed under: Monodelphis domestica (gray short-tailed opossum)
Lineage: Eukaryota; Metazoa; Chordata; Mammalia; Didelphimorphia; Didelphidae
Description: lncRNA (ENSMODG00000031390.2)
Source: RNAcentral
UUAUUGUAUAUUAAUUUUACAACUCACAGGGUGCUGUUUUGAUUUUUUGAGACUCCACAAGACCUUUCACCAGACAGGAGGUGGCUCCAUCCUAGUUUCAGGCUUGAUCAGGAGAAGAAGGUUUGGAUUUUGAGAAUUUUAUCUACAAGUGCUAUUCCUGUUCCCUGAAUAAUAUAAAUGAAUUGAUGUUGCUUGCUAUAGAAUGAGAUAUCUUCUACAGUCAUCAUUUGUAUGGAUAUAGGGAUUUGGAGAAACUGUUAUACAGUUCAGAUAGGCUAUUUUAUAAUAAUCAGACAAAGUGGGAGAAUAGUUGUCAUCAUUGUUUUUCAUCUUUCAUCUUCAAAGAGGACCGGUGAUAUUACAGGCUAUUGUGAAUAUCAAACAACCUACCUGUCCCUGUCUCAGGAUCUCAAGGCAGCUGACUAUCUAUCAUAUCUCAACUCCUCUUUUGCAUGAGUCAGGCUGACCAGAUAUGGAAGCUCUUCUUGCCAAGUUGUGAAUAAAAGACCUCUGCUGGAAAGUAUCA